UACCUCAAAAUUCCGCAACAGUCUGUUUCAUCAGUAAAGAAUCAUCAGGCGGUAUCAGGGAUGCCUGAUGAUUCUUUACUGAUGAAACAGACUGUUGCGGAAUUU
Paramuricea clavata is the source of this 105-nucleotide non-coding RNA. The record is from the annotation of a GenBank genome assembly. NCBI's taxonomy places the organism in Eukaryota, Metazoa, Cnidaria, Anthozoa, Malacalcyonacea, Plexauridae.